RNAcentral lists this ribosomal RNA (254 nucleotides) under uncultured bacterium. RNAcentral's name for it is "partial 16S ribosomal RNA". It matches the Rfam family "Bacterial small subunit ribosomal RNA", at positions 524 to 777 of the family's 1533-position model. The record is from RNAcentral.
UACAGAGGGUGCAAGCGUUAAUCGGAAUUACUGGGCGUAAAGGGUGCGUAGGUGGUUAGAUAAGUUAUCUGUAAAAUCCCUGGGCUUAACCUGGGCAGGUCAGAUAAGACUGUUUGACUCGAGUAUGGGAGAGGGUAGUGGAAUUUCCGGUGUAGCGGUGAAAUGCGUAGAGAUCGGAAGGAACACCAGUGGCGAAGGCGGCUACCUGGCCUAAUACUGACACUGAGGCACGAAAGCGUGGGGAGCAAACAGGG